CGCGCAGGCGGCCUUUUAAGUCUGAUGUGAAAGCCCCCGGCUCAACCGGGGAGGGCCAUUGGAAACUGGAAGGCUUGAGUACAGAAGAGAAGAGUGGAAUUCCACGUGUAGCGGUGAAAUGCGUAGAGAUGUGGAGGAACACCAGUGGCGAAGGCAAUCCCCUGGGCCUGUACUGACGCUCAUGCACGAAAGCGUGGGGAGCAAACAGGAUUAGAUACCCUAGUA
RNAcentral lists this ribosomal RNA (225 nucleotides) under uncultured Exiguobacterium sp. Its description in RNAcentral is "partial 16S ribosomal RNA". It matches the Rfam family "Bacterial small subunit ribosomal RNA", at positions 568 to 792 of the family's 1533-position model. The record is from RNAcentral. Lineage: Bacteria; Bacillati; Bacillota; Bacilli; Caryophanales.